This is a long non-coding RNA of Rhipicephalus microplus (southern cattle tick), 335 nucleotides long. The record is from RefSeq and is a predicted model, not a curated record. NCBI's taxonomy places the organism in Eukaryota, Metazoa, Arthropoda, Arachnida, Ixodida, Ixodidae.
UGGGCCUCAUACCGCGGUUGUCGUCGCAGGAGAUUCCCGUUGUGCUCGAAGGAUUGGCAGAGAUAUUCAGUGAACCGCUGCAUGUAACUGAGGCAAGGUAUCAGCAGAUGAUACAGCGAUCCGAAGAGAUGACGAAAACAGCGUUGCAGAUAAUCGCCGACUUUUGGAGUCGUGAUAGAAGUCAGGAAGACUCUGAAUGCUGAGCAGCAGUGCAGUCGAGUUCUUCUUUUAGGGUUGACAGGCGGGCUAGUUGGUACAAUUGUACCCAGUUGUUUCCCUUUCUGAUCUUUCUGGCAUAUAACUUCUUUUCUGAAUAAACUGAGUUUCAGUCUGCG